CGGGGUGGUCAGAAUGGUUCUACCAGUUUGCACAGGAAGACGUUACUUAAGGCUGCUUUCCAAAGCAGUGAAAAAAUAAGUCAGAACAGCUGUGCUGAUGGCUGGGACUCUCUCAGGACAGCUUGGAAGGCCCGACCUGGCAGCUCUCUGGGCCCACCGGAGCUCUCCUGCCUUGUCUUGUACCUGCCUCUCUGUGCUCCAGCCACACUGCCAUCUCUCCGUUUCUCAAAUGCUACGUAAAGCCGCAUUCUCUUCCCACAGAUAGAAAAUGCUGUGCUCGCCCUUGAAAAGCCUCUCUCUCCAAUGAAUUCCCACUCAUUCCUCAA
Molecule: long non-coding RNA, 326 nt
Filed under: Homo sapiens (human)
Lineage: Eukaryota; Metazoa; Chordata; Mammalia; Primates; Hominidae
Description: HSALNT0346873
Source: RNAcentral